Molecule: non-coding RNA, 560 nt
Organism: Triticum urartu
Lineage: Eukaryota; Viridiplantae; Streptophyta; Magnoliopsida; Poales; Poaceae
Source: RefSeq, a predicted model, not a curated record
ACUUUAAUAUUUGCCAAUUUUCUAGAACUACAGCGUACAAUUUUAGAUUCAUGUAACGAAGCAAAAGAUGUAAGAAAUAUUAGUAUAUUAGAUAGAUAAAUUACCGCAUCAUUAUUUAUUAGAAAUCAAUCAGUUUGUAACGAAUGGAUAUAGCAAAGGUAGUUGACCAGACAAUAACAAUUCACCUUAGUGUUGUACAACUCCAUACAAAUCAUAUUUUUCAGGUCGCUGAAGCAACAUAUUAUGCAUCAGUCAUAUACAUUGUGACUCAAAACUUUAAUAUUUGCCAAUUUUCUAGAACUACAGCGUACAAUUUUAGAUUCAUGUAACGAAGCAAAAGAUGUAAGAAAUAUUAGUAUAUUAGAUAGAUAAAUUACCGCAUCAUUAUUUAUUAGAAAUCAAUCAGUUUGUAACGAAUGGAUAUAGCAAAGGUAGUUGACCAGACAAUAACAAUUCACCUUAGUGUUGUACAACUCCAUACAAAUCAUAUUUUUCAGGUCGCUGAAGCAACAUAUUAUGCAUCAGUCAUAUACUUGGCUGCAUGGUGAAUUUGAUCAAAA